UUUUUUUUUCUUCAAUUAUUAUUUUAUUAAAUUAAGGAAUCCUAAAAUAUAUGGAAAAGAAAUAAAUAUGAGAGUCCUAACAUAUAUGAAGAUACAAUUAACAGUCCUAAAAUAUAUGUAAAAACCACAUUGAUAAGAGAAAAAAGCAACAUAUCGUUAGGUUUAUGUACUCCUUUAAUAGGCUCUCGGCUAUGGACUUAUGGUGCAUCUUUGGUGAAGAGAAAAAAAGUGCACAGAUGAAAAAAAAGAAAAAAAACAGACACAUACAACACAUGAAGCAAAGUUGUAGAACUAUGUAAGCUUAUACUGUUGCAUGAGUUUUACAAAGAUUAAUUAUAUGUAAUGGUCCCUUGUCAAGGUAUUAAGGUUACAUAUGUUGCAUUUUUUUUCUUUAAUACAAAAUUUCUUUCCACCAACAUAUACUCCUUAAUGCAUAACACCUUUUAAUUGAAAUAAGAAUAUUGGUUAUUUGAUCGGUAUCUACUAUAAUAAUAGAUGAUAAAUGAAUUUGAUCUGUGUUGGUUACUUAAUGCAGAAAAUUAUUGAUACGUGUCAAAAAUUAUUAAUGAGGUGGUUUGUGUUAUUGUGUGAUGGUCUAAUAUUUUCUUCUUUCUAUUAUUUAUUUUAUUGUUGUGUAUUAUCUUAGUGAGAGAUCAAAAAUUGAUAUGUUGUGGCACUUUGAUAGAAAUUUAUUUAAUCUUGAUCCUAUUUUGAUUGAUCAUGACUACUUCUAUAUUUAGUAGUAAUUUGUGUUAUCUGAAAUCUGAAGGCAAUGACCGCUGCUUAUGGAUUAUCUGAUCCAAUUUCAACUUCUGAGCUUACUGAACUGAAUUUUCUUCGAAACCGCAAAUUGAAAAAGGUUUGUUCUUGAUUUACCUUAUGCUUUUGAUUGAAAUUUUUUUUCUGUUAUGUUAGUGAUGAUCAUAAAUACUCUCUAUCUCUAGAAAAUAGGGGUAAGGUUUUCACUCCCACCUCUCUACAUGUUGGAUUACGUGGGAUAUGUUGUUGUUGUUGGUAUGUUUGUUAUGAUCAAAGAUAGUCUCUCUAUCUCUACGAGGUAGGAGGAAGGUUUGCAUACAAUCACUUGUGGAUAACAGGGGUAUGUUGUUGUUGUUGGUACUGUAUUUGUGAUGGAUUUUCAAAUUAUGUAUACAGAAUUGAUUGGAUAAAAAUAUUUUUUAUUGUAUUUGUGAUGAUAAAAAAUUUAAGUCUACGUACAUUUUGCAUUGGGUAUGUCAGUUGUUGUUGUUGUGUUUGCAAUGUAUUUUUGAAUUAUGUAUAAAAAAUAUGAUCUAACAAAUUAUGGGGCUUCCCCUAACUUUGAAUCUUCAUAGAGUUGAUAAUCAUAAUUCAAAAGUUAGUAACUAAGAUUUUUUGUGAUGCGACCUUCCUUUCUUGAACAGAUUUGUAAUUUAAAUGUUGCAUUGUAAAGGAGACUUUAGGAUAAGCUUUAGGUAACACUGUUAAUCUCAAGCAUGGAUUUAGUUUAAGAUUUAUUUAGACUUUUAUUCUCAUGUAUCUAUCUAACUAUUUUAAAAGUGUAAAAAAUCUUAUAAAUGCCCUACAAUAUACAAAAUAGUCAUUUACUAUAUUUUUUAAAAUUAAUGUUUAAUUAUUUUUAUAAUAUUAACUCCUAAAUAUAUGAAAAGAAUAAGAGGCAUAAAGUUUUAUUAACACUAAACAACUGAAUCACUGUUGUUAAUACCAAUAGGGUAGCAACUUUCUUCUAUUUUGAUAUAUUUUCUUAGGUAUAUGUACAAAGUUAAGAAAAUUUUGAUGGUAGAGUAUAGUAAAUACAUAAAUUUAUGUUGGUAUAUUUGUAUGUUAGAAUUUUGGACCGGAUUGGAUGUUUCUUUCUUUGUGGUGAGCAAAAGUUGGGAGGAUCUACUGAAAAUUUCUUUUAGUGUAUUAAUCAAUUUUUCUGAAUAUUUUGCGAUGGUUAGAUGUGGUCUAAUGAAUUAAAAUUAUUCCUGUUUAAGAUCACAACUUUCUUUUGUUGCCAUAUGUAAUGGAUUGUUUUCUCACAUGUUGUGAUUUGAUAUUUGUUGGUUAAUGAAUCAAACUGCUUCUAAAAUAAGAAGGUUUCUCAUACAUGGAUCUAUCAUUUGUUCUUCUGAAUGCAUUUGGAUUGAUGUUAAUUUGGUUGGUUGUUCUGUUAGUUUGAUCUAUAAUUUUUGCAUUUAUUUGAAAAAUAUCUUUGCUGACUUUUAGACGUAUUCCUUAGAAAAAUAGUAUAAUUAUAUGUGUGAUGUUUGAAAAAAAAUUUCACUUUUAUUGGUUGUUGUUAAGUUGACAAUCUUCGUAUAUAUGUAGGGAUGCUUGAAAGUAGGAAGGGAAAACUUCUGUAUGUAUAAUAUAUGAAAAGUAGGGAAAUACUUAGUUUAGUAUAUAACCCUAACUUUAUUUAAUAAAGCAAAUGCAUUAAUUAAGCCUCCCACAUAAUUUUUCAGGUGAAAUUAUUAUAAGAUUCGAUCAAAGUGAUUUUUUUAUGACUGAAAAAGAGUAAGAUAACUUUUGUGUAAUGAAAGAAAGAAAAAUAUUUAUUGUGUAAUGGACACAAAACUAAAGUGGUCAUGAAUGAGAUUUUCUCAAAAUAUAUUGAUUUAAAGAUUGAAUUGUAAAGGGAAGCAAGUUGGAAUACGACUCUAAAUGAGUUAAUGAGACUAUAUACAAUGUUUUUAGUUCUUUUCUUUUCUUGUUAAUAUGUUGAUUUGUUUUUUCUUAUAUUCUAAAUUAUUUUGAUCGAUUUAAAAUUAUUUAUUUAUUACAAUAGUGGUAUGACUCUAAUUUGUGGCAGUUGAAGAGCAGAUGCAAAUCUAGAAGUUGGACUUUAUGGUAAUUUAAAUCUUUUUUCUUAAUAUGUAAAAAUAGUUUUUAAAAAUUAUUUUUUUAAUAUUUAAAUAUUAUCUUUUAAUUAUUUCCUAACUACAUGGAUUUUGAUUUUAGUCCAUAAUGAACACGUAUAACUUUAAAUUUAUUUUCUUACUAUUAGGACUUUGAUUUUACUCCAUAAAGAACACGUAAGUUCUUUGAACUUUUUUUUUCUAUUUUUGUGUGAAUUUUCUUUUCUUAUAAUUUAUUUAAGGUGUCUUAAAAUAUAUGGUAAUAGAUUUUAAGAGAACUAGUAAUUAAGAAAUUCUAAAAUCUGUGGUAAAAGGAAAGAUAUAUUAGUAAGAAAUAUUAAGAGAAUCAAUAAUUAAGGAAUCCUAAAAUAUAUGAUAAAGGAAAGAUAUAUGGUUUGUAUUUUAGGUUGGUCUUAUUAUUGGGAGCUCUGAACCAAAAUAAGUUAUCCUUUAAAUGAAUUCACCAAAGUAAUAUAUUUUUUUGAAACUUUACCAAACUAGUAUAAACGUUGUUCUCAGUAACGUAUUAUGCUUUUAAAAAGGUUAACGAACCAAAAAGAGCCGUGGACGACAUUAAAAUAGGAAUUGUUACUAUCAAUAAUAUUUUGGACAUAAAACGUUACAGUGAGUAAUGAGAACCAGCAACUCUGGCACAUCAGAAUCUUUGUAUGAAUCAGACGUUAAAUUCGUUACUGCCAAUUACGUUUUAGCUUUAAACGUUACUCUGAGUAACGAUACUAUCAAAUCAACUCAAAACUCUGUGGUGUCAGAGUUUUGAGUUACUCAGAGUAACGUUUUAAAGCUAAAACAUAAUUGACAAUAACAAAUUUAACAUCAGAUUUGUAUAAAGAUUCAGAUGUGACAAAGUUGAAGAGUCUUGUUACUCACAGUAACGUUUUAUGUCAAAAACAUUAAUGCCAGUAACGUUUUACGUCAAAAACGUUACUGACAGUAACGAUUCCUAUUUUAACAUCAUCUACAACACUUUUUUGGUCCAUUAACUUUUAUUAAAGCAUAAUAUAUUACCGGAACAACGUUUAUACUGGUUUGGUAAAGUUUCAAAAAAAUAUAUUACUAUGGUGAAUUGAUUUAAAAAAUAACUUAUUUUGGUCUAGAGUACUAUUAUUGGUAAAAAUAGUGUAACCAUAAAAAAUAUGCAAGCAAGAACUAAAACACGUAUUCAGAUAACUUUAAAAUAAUUUUUAUUAAAUAAUGUGAAUAUUUUGGCAGAAAUAGUACUUUGGUUUAAUGAAGAGUUACAAUCCUUUUCAUUGUGAAAAGGAAUUAUAUUUUAGAGAAAUUUUUCCAAAUUUGUUUUUGCGCGAGAGAAUUCUUAAGGAUUUUUAUUUUGGUAUCAGCCAAAUCUAAGUAAUUCUAUUUUAUUUUAUUCUUUUAUAGUAUCUGACCAUCUCAAACAAAUAUGAUUUUUUGAUAAAUUUUUGUUAGGUUAUUUUUUAUUUGACUACUACUGCUUUUACUGCUGCUGCUACUGCUACUGCUACUGUUACUCCUGCUACUGCUACUACUACUGCUCCUUCUCUUCCUACUCCUACUCACCCUUCUCUUACUAUUACUACUACUGCUACUUCUACUACUACUGCUACUACUACUACUACUGCUACUGCUACUCAUACUCCUACUCCUACUCCUCCUCCUUCUCCUCCUACUGCUCCUUCUCCUCCUCCUUCUACUCCUACUCCUACUCCUACUCCUACUCCUCAUCUUCCUACUACUCCUACUACUACUCCUACUCCUACUCAUACUCCUACUCCUACUCCUACUUGUAAUGACCCAAGACUACCCCCUAGUCGUCACAUGAUGCUUACGAUCCUGAAGGACCAUAAGCUAACCCAUGACUGAUAUCUGCUAUGAGCACUAAAUAGUAAUGAUGAAUAAAUACGAAAAAAUAGGCUGAAAUGCCAUACGGAUCAAAAUCUGAAAUAAUGAUAAAUAACAACAUAUGAUAAAACAGCUGAAUUUGAAAUACUGUCUGAACUAGCCUAGUCCGAAAGCCUCUAACUGUACUGUCUAAAUAUGAAGUUGAAGGGACAAACCCCCAACUAACUCUAACUACUAAAAUACUGAAACUACUGAAAUACUAAAAUAAAAACAUAUCCUUGUUAGAUGAGGACUCACUGCUAAAUCUGUGACUGCUGACUG
This 5003-nucleotide long non-coding RNA is filed under the name Capsicum annuum. RNAcentral describes it as "long non-coding RNA (CANN_LNC001430)". The record is from RNAcentral. Lineage: Eukaryota; Viridiplantae; Streptophyta; Magnoliopsida; Solanales; Solanaceae.